Molecule: ribosomal RNA, 1144 nt
Filed under: uncultured bacterium
Lineage: Bacteria
Description: bacterial SSU rRNA
Rfam family: Bacterial small subunit ribosomal RNA
Source: RNAcentral
CAGACAACUUACGGGUGGCAGCAGUCGAGAAUCAUUCACAAUUGGGUGAAACCUGAUGUUGCGACUCUGCGUGGAAGGAUAAAGUCUUCGGAUGUAAACUCCUGUCAUGUGAGAGUAAGGAUUUGUGGGUAACUCCAUAAAUUUGAUAGUAUCACAAGAGGAAGAGACGGCUAACUCUGUGCCAGCAGCCGCGGUAAUACAGAGGUCUCAAGCGUCGUUCGGAAUCACUGGGCGUAAAGGGUGCGUAGGCGGCGUGGAAAGUCAGAUGUGAAAUCCGGGGGCUCAACCUCCGAAUUGCAUCCGAUACUACCAUGCUAGAGAACUGGAGGGGAGUCUGGAAUUCUUGGUGUAGCAGUGAAAUGCAUAGAUAUCAAGAGGAACACUAGUGGCGAAGGCGAGACUCUGGACAGUAUCUGACGCUCAUGCACGAAGGUCAGGGUAGCGAACGGGAUUAGAUACCCCGGUAGUCCUGACAGUAAACGGUGCACGUUUGGUGUGGGAGGAUUCGACCCCUUCUGCGCCGGAGCUAACGCGUUAAACGUGCUGCCUGGGAAGUACGAUCGCAAGAUUAAAACUCAAAGAAAUUGACGGGGACCCGCACAAGCGGUGGAUGAUGUGGUUUAAUUCGAUGCAACGCGAAAAACCUUACCCACCUUUGACAUGUAUGGAAUCCUUUAGAGAUGAAGGAGUGCUCGAAAGAGAGCCAUAACACAGGUGCUGCAUGGCUGUCGUCAGCUCGUGUCGUGAGAUGUUGGGUUAAGUCCCGCAACGAGCGCAACCCUUGCCAUUAGUUGCUACGAAAGGGCACUCUAAUGGGACUGCCGGUGAUAAACCGGAGGAAGGUGGGGAUGACGUCAAGUCCUCAUGGCCCUUAUAGGUGGGGCUACACACGUCAUACAAUGGCUGGUACAAAGGGUUGCCAACCCGCGAGGGGGAGCUAAUCCCAUAAAACCAGUCGUAGUCCGGAUCGCAGUCUGCAACUCGACUGCGUGAAGUCGGAAUCGCUAGUAAUCGUGGAUCAGAAUGUCACGGUGAAUACGUUCCCGGGUCUUGUACACACCGCCCGUCACACCAUGGGAGCGGGUUCUGCCAGAAGUAGUUAGCCUAACCGCAAGGAGGGCGAUACCACGGCAGGUCGAACGUA